GUCGCGGCGAACGCCCCUUCUCGUCGGUGGCCGGCGGAACUAAUUAUCACUCACCUGUGUGCACUCGAGCAGAACAAAGAUGCGCACGUCUCCAAUCCAAGUGGUAUAGUUUGAACCGGCAAAACGCUAAUUCAGCGUAAGAAAGAAAAUCGCUAUUCUCAUCGAGCAUCCCUGAAGCUGUGCAGGAUCGGGUAUCAAUUCAAAGACUGAACAGACAGCCGGUAAGAUUGCCACAUUAAUCAGACUUUGCUGCGAGUGACACUUGUUGAUUGUUGCAAGCGGGAAGAAACUAUGUUUGCGAGCUGUAGUAUCUGAUUGUUGUAAAUAUUCACGUGGUAGUUUAUGGAAUGUAUUGCGCAGAUAUUGGUUGGUUAAUUUUAUUGUAGUUGUAUGUAAUUGUAAGCUUAAUGCAGUGAUUUAAUUCUGAUAUGCGUUCUGAUACGUGGGAUGUUGUUGUACUGGAUUGGUGGCUUGUAAAGACAUGGUUUAAAAGUGUGCAUAGUCAUAUUUGCAUAUAACAUCUGUCUAACAUGGAAACUAAAAAUAUUUAAUUGCCAAAAUGGUAAAUUGUAGUUCAUGGGAGUGAAUAUGUAUUGUAAAUAUUUAUAUGGGUGAAAAAUGUGCUAAACUCACUGCUUGACUAUUCAAAUGUUUAGUGAGUUCAUUGUGUUUGGUUACUCUUUUAAUUCAUUGUGCCUCCUGUAGUUUAGAUUGUGAUUUAAUAUCCGUGAUGAAUUCAAACUGAAAUCAUGUGGAAAUCUGUGAUUUAUAUGUACAUAUGUGUCUAGAGUCAAGUUUGAUAAUGAAUCAUUUUGAGUCCUGUGUGUCUGUUUUACAGAAAAUGUGCAAAUUGGUAAAUUGUUGAUGUUUUCUGGUUUAAGGUUUUUCACCUGUAAAUAUCUGGGCUGCAAAAAUUGAAGACAAAUAAAAAAGGAUAAAGAUGGAACAGAGGCCUGGUUAUUGAGUGAAACCCAGUUUAAAAGUUCAGCAUUGGUACCGCCCUAUCAAGUGAGGGUUAAGCACAACCAAGAAGAGAAAACACUUGACAGUG
Alosa sapidissima (American shad) is the source of this 1051-nucleotide long non-coding RNA. RefSeq lists it as uncharacterized. Lineage: Eukaryota; Metazoa; Chordata; Actinopteri; Clupeiformes; Clupeidae. The record is from RefSeq and is a predicted model, not a curated record. The transcript is spliced from 2 exons.